Molecule: ribosomal RNA, 255 nt
Filed under: uncultured bacterium
Lineage: Bacteria
Description: partial 16S ribosomal RNA
Rfam family: Bacterial small subunit ribosomal RNA
Source: RNAcentral
UACGGAGGGUGCAAGCGUUAAUCGGAAUUACUGGGCGUAAAGCGUGCGCAGGCGGUUUGUUAAGUCCGUUGUGAAAGCCCCGAGCUCAACUUGGGAAUUGCAGUGGAUACUGGCAGGCUGGAGUACGGUAGAGGAAGGUGGAAUUCCCGGUGUAGCAGUGAAAUGCGUAGAUAGUCGGGAGGAACACCAGUGGCGAAGGCGGCCUUCUGGACCAGUACUGACGCUCAGUGCACGAAAGCGUGGGGAGCAAACAGG